Molecule: long non-coding RNA, 461 nt
Organism: Cavia porcellus (domestic guinea pig)
Lineage: Eukaryota; Metazoa; Chordata; Mammalia; Rodentia; Caviidae
Exons: 2
Source: RefSeq, a predicted model, not a curated record
ACAGUAGCAGAGUGUCCUACUGUACGCGCCCACCCGCCCGCCAGCACGUGACCUGAGCCCCCUCCCCAUACCAGCCCCUAGUACACUGUCCUGCCCGCCCGCCAGGUGGCGCCCACCCGCCUGCCCUCACCCUACACCCCUAGCUGGGGGUGGGGAGGGAGCAGGACGAGCCGCGUCGCAGCUCGGCUGCCGACACUGUGCCACCACCAGCACCGCUGUGGCCAUCGCUGCUGGUCAGACCCUAAGAAGCCUUGGCCCCGGGGAGUUGGGGGACUAGGGACCUAGAAUGGAGGAGAAAACCAAGAAGGCUUUCGGAAAUUCAAGAGCUAAAAAUGUCAGGAAUUUCCUGGGAAACGCAGUUCCUUACGGGAUUCAUUAAAGCAGGUUCGCUUGCUUACCCUUUACUCUUCCUCCCAAAAAUGUGUUGAAGAGCCCCCCCCCCAAAUAAAACAGUUAAAUGG